This 193-nucleotide ribosomal RNA is filed under the name uncultured bacterium. Its description in RNAcentral is "partial 16S ribosomal RNA". It matches the Rfam family "Bacterial small subunit ribosomal RNA", at positions 341 to 526 of the family's 1533-position model. The record is from RNAcentral.
ACGGGAGGCAGCUGUGGCGAAUAUUGGACAAUGGGCGAUAGCCUGAUCCAGCCAUGCCGCGUGUGUGAAGAAGGUCUUCGGAUUGUAAAGCACUUUAAGUUGGGAGGAAGGGCAGUAAGUUAAUACCUUGCUGUUAUGACGUUACCGACAGAAUAAGCACCGGCUAACUCUGUGCCAGCAGCCGCGGUAAUAC